RNAcentral lists this ribosomal RNA (428 nucleotides) under Nibea albiflora (white flower croaker). RNAcentral's name for it is "partial large subunit ribosomal RNA". It matches the Rfam family "Bacterial large subunit ribosomal RNA", at positions 605 to 1181 of the family's 2925-position model. The record is from RNAcentral. Lineage: Eukaryota; Metazoa; Chordata; Actinopteri; Sciaenidae.
CUUUUGCAUCAUGAGUUAGCCAGAAAAUCUCAAGCAAAGAGCACAUUAGUUUGAUUCCCCGAAACUACGUGAGCUACUUCAAGACAGCCUAAAAUAGGGCGAACCCAUCUCUGUAGCAAAAGAGUGGGAUGAGCUUCGAGUAGCGGUGACAGACCUAUCGAACCUAGUUAUAGCUGGUUGCCUGAGAAAUGAAUAGAAGUUCAGCCUUUCGAGUUCUCCCCUCAACCCCGUCUUCACCCCCGGACAACCAAAGAAAUCGAAAGAGUUAGUUAAAGGGGGUACAGCCCCUUUAACACAAGAUACAACUUUCCCAGGAGGGUAGAGAUCACAUUCAAAUUCCAAGGUAAAAUGAUUUGGUGGGCCUAAGAGCAGCCACCCCUAUAGAAUGCGUUAAAGCUCAAAUAUAAUUACCACCCCUAAUCCUGACC